CAGCCCCUCGAGUGGUGGGGAUGAUUAUUUGGCCUAAAGCGUCCGUAGCCGGCCGGGUAAGUUUCCCGUUAAAUCCAGCGUCUCAAGCGUUGGACUGCGGGAAAUACUGCCUGGCUAGAGAGUGGGAGAGGUCAGCGGUAUUCUGGGGGUAGGGGCGAAAUCCUGUGAUCCCCGGAGGACCACCAGUGGCGAAGGCUGCUGACUAGAACACGUCUGACGGUCAGGGACGAAAGCUGGGGUAGCGAACCGGAUUAGAUACCCGAGUAGUCC
Molecule: ribosomal RNA, 270 nt
Filed under: uncultured archaeon
Lineage: Archaea
Description: partial 16S ribosomal RNA
Rfam family: Archaeal small subunit ribosomal RNA
Source: RNAcentral